GGGUUUAAUCAUUGAUAGAAUUCAAAAUACAAUUUCUGAAGUGGAUAAGAAGAGGUUCAUCUACCUUGGUGAUGGUGCUGGUGAUUAUUGUCCUAGUUUGAGGCUUAGAGAAAGAGACUUUGUGAUGCCAAGGAAGAAUUUUNNNNNNNNNNNNNNNNNNNNNNNNNNNNNNNNNNNNNNNNNNNNNNNNNNNNNNNNNNNAGAAGAGUUGGAACAAGUUUUGUUGCACUUGAUCAAUAAAAUUAUGAUGGAGGAACAUGUUCAAUUCAUUUCAACUGAUUGCAAGUUGCAAACUCUAUCUAUGCCUGUGCUUGAAUCAUUGCCUAAAGCUCUCUCAGUUAGGCCAUAAAUUUUUAGGGUCAUUGCAAAUGUAUCUAGGCUUUUUUUUUGGUCCUUAAAGUGACUUUAAUAAACUUUUUCUUGAAAUUGGUCUAUGAUGGGAAAUGGGAAAAUACAAUGUCUAUCUAAGACAAUUACCAAUUUGCCCUACAUCUUGUAGAUUAUUUAGUUUAACAGCUAAUUGCUAUGUAAAACUUUAUAAAAUACUGGUCUAUGGUUUGAGAAUGGUUGGUUAGUAGGUAGUUUCUUACUCAUCACAAUGAGAUGAACUCUUUGAUCGUGGUUAAUAUUAUCAUAUCUUGGAAAGCUCGGAACUAUCAUUUGUUCCCUCUCUUCAAGAAUUUUUAUCUCUGGUGAAUUCAAUAAACUGAAAUUGUGAGAUCAAACAUAUUUACCGCGCAAAAACUCAAUUAUUGUAUUGAUCGUCUAACAAAUUUUGGUCAUGGUGGCGAGUUUGAUUCGGUAGAGUUUUCAUCCUAAUCCCCAUCCUUUUCUAAAGCUUUUACUUUGAAAUUAAAUUAGCAUUUAAUCCCAAAAACAAUUGGACCUAUUAUGUUUUUCUCGUUAGCAUGUGGUAGCAGCAUCCACAAUAUAGUACUGAAUUUUCUAUUUUUUUUAUAAAUCAUGUAUAUUAAUCAUCAAGUGAUUGACUACAUGCAUGAUACCAUCGAUAUAUCUUAUAACUUAAUUCAUUCCAUCUAAUUGUUCAUACAUAAAUAUGACUCUUCAAAUCAUGUAUGUCAUGUGAAAAUGAAUAUUAAACAUAUUUUUAGAAAUACAAAGUUUUUGUAAAUUCUAACUUCUCUAUUCCGAAUCCAUAUAUUUUAUAUUCUACUAUCUAUCAAAUAAGUGAACUUUUAAAAUAAUAUCAUAAAAUUUUAUAACUUAUUUAUUUUUUAGACAACUUAUAAAUUUCAUCGGUUAACACUUUGAACUUAGGUGAAAAAUAUGAUCAACAUUAAUUAUUUUUUGGUCACUAAUUUCUCUUUAUAUACUCUUUUUGUAUUUUCAUCUUUUUCUUUUAUUCUUCUUUUUUUCGGAAUACAUCAAAAUAGUAAACACUUGCUUAUAAAAAAAAAAACACUUAUUUCGAUAUUUUUUCGGGAAAAAAAGUUUCGAUUUCAAAUAAAAACAAUUCUGAAGUUUUUCUGAAAAAAAGUUUCCGUUCUUUUUUAGGUAAAAAAGUUUCGGAUAUUUUCCGAAAAAAAAAGAUUUCGAUUUUUUCUGGAAAAAGUUUCGAUGUUUUCCGGAAAAAAGUCCCCGGUUUUUGGGAAAAAUAGUUUCGAAAUGUUCACCUGAAAAAAUAUUGCUGAUACAAAAAAAAGUGAAAAAACAGAAAAUAUUUGAAAAAAUUUUCCGAAUAAAAUAUCGGAACUAUUUUGUUCCGACAAAAUCUCCGGAAUUGUUUUUAUCUAAAAUCAAAAUUUUUUUCCCAAAAAAUCGGGAACUUUUUUUCUGAAAAAAAAACAAAAAAAAAAAAUUUCCAAAAAAAUAUCGAAAUUUUUUUUCCGAAAAAAUCGGAAACUUUUUUUCAAAAAUAAAAAAUAAUAUAAUACUGACAGUACACCAUAAUAUCAUGUACACAUUCAAUCCGGUCCACAAAACAUAUGGUGCAUUGAUGAAAGACCUAUCAUGACCUCCCACUCUAGAAUCCGCCUAGAAUUAUUCUGUGCAUGUAACUCCGCAACAACAACUCAUAAUCCAUUUUUUUUCUUUCUCAUAAGAUUGGAGGGUUAGUUAUAAACAAAAGUGCAUGUAACUCAUUAGUCUAACUAACCCUAAUCUAUUUCAAAUCAUCUAAUCCAACAGCUGAAAUUAAAUUUUGAAAUAUAGUUAGAUCAUGUGUUCCAUAUUUCACUACAAAGCAGUUUUUACGUUAAACAAAUCCAGCGAGAAAUCCUUAUAAAUUACCUAUUAUUGUGAACAACUUUUACAACAAAAAUACUCACUCUAUACUUCAUAACAUAUAUCAUUCUCAUUCCCUUUCUCGUCUCUCAAAGAAAACAAAAUGUCUAACAUUGUUAUUGUUUUCGACUUUGACAAAACCAUCAUUGAUUGUGACAGUGAUGAUUGGGUCAUUGAUCAAUUUGGUUUCACUGAUUUCUUCAAUCACCUCCUUCCCACCACGCCUUUGAAUUCCCUCAUGGUAUAUCUCUCUCUCUCUCUAUGUGCUCUAUUUUAUAUACAUAAUACAUAUUUUUUCUGAGAUAGAUACGACACCAAACACAUGCAAUAACAUCACAUUAUAUAUAUUUUAAAUUAUUCUAGGUGUAAAUGUUUCAGUGUCAAUUCUUUAAGUUACAACACAAUCACAACUAAUGAUAUCUUAAAACCCACUUGAGUUGGUCUGGUUGUAUUGACUUGAGAUCCGGGAGUGCGCUCCUCUUUAAGGUCUCAGGUUUGAUUUUCGUGCCAAUUUAGGUGGGCUAAUUUAGUUUUUUAGAAAAAAAACUAAUGUUUUCUCAAUUUUUUAAUCUUCAUUAGUCAACUGGAAUAAAUAUCUGAAGUUUAUGUUGUUUUUUUUUUGGAAUUAUAGCAAAGAAUGAUGAUGGAGUCUCAUUCACAUGGUAAAAGCAUUGAAGACAUUGAAAAAGUUCUUGAUAGGAUUCCUAUUAACCAAAGAAUAAUUUCUGCAAUUAAAUCAGCACAUGCUUUAGGGUGUGAUUUGAGGAUUGUGAGCGAUUCCAAUACAUUUUUCAUUGAAACCUUUUUGAAGCAUUUGGGAAUAAGUGAAUGCUUCUCAGAGAUUAACACUAAUCCUGGUUAUGUUAAUCAAGAAGGAAGAUUAAGAAUUUUGCCUUAUCAUGAUUUCAAUAACGCUUCACAUGGUUGCCCUCUAUGUCCUCCAAAUAUGUGCAAGGUACAGUUCAUGAUUUUAAUUAAAUAUUUUGAGUUAAAUAUGUUUUUGUUUUAGUCCCUAUUCAAUUAUGGGUCUUACUAACGAGUCCGUCCGGACGAGACGAUCUUUAAAUUGAGAUUUUCAAUACUUUUAUUGUUAUCUUUUGAAUUUUUUUAAAAAUUCAUAUUUAAUUCUNNNNNNNGUAUUACAGGGUUUGAUCAUAGAUAGAAUAAAAAAUUCAAUUUCUGAAAGGGGUAAUAAUAAGAGGUUUAUUUAUCUUGGUGAUGGUAUUGGAGAUUAUUGUCCUAGCUUAAGGCUUAAAGAGAGAGACUUCAUGAUGCCAAGGAAGAAUUUUCCAGCUUGGGACUUAAUAUGCAAAGACCCUUCACUUCUUAAGGCUGAAAUUCAUGGUUGGAGUGAUGGAAAAGAGUUAGAACAAGUUUUGAUGAAGUUGAUUAACAAAAUUAUGAUAGAGGAAAAUUAUGAUAGAGCAAGCUGCAAUCUCUAUCAAUUCCUGUGGCCAUAGAAUUUUAGUUUACAAUUAUUGCAAAGUGUAUAAUUGGUUUUUCAUGUAUGAUUUGAUUAACUUUAAUCAAACUUUUCUAAUAAGAUUUGCAAACUAGCUAAACAUAUGGCUACUUUUGCAAGAGCAUGAAUGACCUUAUCGACUUGACUCCUAACGAACUCUAGAUAGGAAUUCCUCUAAAAAUAGACACCAACAACUACUAAUAAUACUACCAAACUCAAAGUGCUCUUGUUUGUUGUCAUAGAAUGAAUAUUAAAUAUAUAUUAAGCNNNNAGAAAUACAAAAUGACUGUAGAGUUGGGCGCCGACCAAGGUGAUUGUUUUUUCUUGGCAAGCCCUUCUUGCCAGUUACUUACUAGGGAGAAUUUGGUGAAGAGAGGCAUUGCUAUUGAAGGGCCUUUUGCGGGUUGCGUGUUGUGUGGAGAGGGUAGAGAAACGAAGGAUCACUUGUUUGCUUCUUGCUCUACGGUUUGAGAGGUUUGGUCCAAGGUUCAUCGGUGGUUUGGUUUGUCGUCAGUUGUUCCGUGUACGAUUGGCUCCUUAUUUCAAGGCUUUCUUUCACACAUUCGUUGAGCCUUUUGAUUGUAUAGUUCGCUAGUUUGGGCGUGUUUAGUUCGAUCAAAUGAUGUGUAUUUGAUUUUUUUUUUUUUUUGGUUGCGUACUAUUUGUACUUCUCCUACUGUUGUGGGUAGAGUAUCUCUUGUACUUUCUCCUUUUAUAUAUAUAUAUAUAUAUAAUCUUUUGCGGUUAAAAAAUAAAAUAAAAUGACCUCGAUUAUAACUAUUGCAUUUGUAUUAUGUUAUAUUAUCUAUCAAAUAAGUGAACAUUUUAAAAUAACAUCAUAAAAUUUUGCAACUUAUUUUUUUUAACAAAUUUUAAAUUUAAUCCCUUUGAACUUGGGGGAGGAACUUACUUUUAAUUUAGAAAUUUAAAAGUAACGAAUUUUAAUUUCUUAUACUCGAAAGACCAAGAGUAUAAGAGUAAAUAAAAUAAGUUUUAUACGUAAAGACAUCACAUUUUACAGGUAAGAAUCAGAAUUCGAAUCCAAACACUUUACUUAUUCUCAUCUUAAAAUAAUUUAUUUUUUUUAAAAUAUGUUUGAACCCUCCUACAAAAUUAUACGUGAAGCUCUGACACAGCAUAUUUUUUUUUUUUGAUAAGAAAAAAUUGAAUUAUAAGAAGUACUAGGUGUACUCAAACCUUACAAUUCAAGAAAAAAUAAACUGUUAGAUGCUAGAAAUGCACACUAACGGGUCAUUACACCAAUCAGAAAAUACAAAAGAAGAAAUAUUCCCUAUUCAUCCUAUAAACCAAAACCAGGAAAUAAACAUAAUUUGAUCAACUAAGGAAGACAAAUUAACCACUUCUCCUCUAAACAUGAUGUUAUUGCGUGCACGCCAUAUACUCCAAGUGGUUGCUAACCAAAUUAUAUGCCUUACUUUCUUAUGCUUCACCAAACUGCCAAAAGUGUUAAAAUGCUUCCAUCCUUCUUCAAAGGGUAUGAAUUCCACAUUCAACCACCUAAAAAUUUUCUUCCAUACUUGUAAUGAAAAAGAACAAUUAAAAAUAAAUGGUCGAUGUCUUCUUCUUCUCGGAAACAAAACGCGCAACUAAAUUCAUGAGGAUUGACAAUAAUAUUUUUUCUCGCCAAAGCCAUACGUGUCGGAAGUCUUGCUAAUAAUAACCGCCAUCCGAAAAUGAUCACUUUGGAAGGAACAUCAUUCUCCCAUAAAUNNNNNACGUUACUGUCAAAAGUCGAUUGUGCAUCGCGAUUUUGAAGGAAAACAUAAGUUGAGCGCACCGAAAAAAUGCCGGCAUGGUUUGGGAUCCAUUUCCUGCGAUCUGGACUGUCUGGCGUUGGACUGAUAUUUGUCAAUAUGCAUGUUAGUUCUGAUAAAGCUUUCAUCUCGGUUGAUAGCAAUUCCUCAACCCAUUGCAAGUGCCACUGCCAAUUGCUGUCAUUCCAAGAGCCAACAUCUGUUACUACAGCCUCAUGAUUCAAAGCUUUGUUAUACAAUUGUGGAUAAAGAUAUUGCAAGCUAUCAUUCCCUAACCAUUUUAUUUGCCAAAACCGAAUGCUAUCUCCUUUGCCCAACACAGUACACACAUUGGAUUUGAACCAAUCACCAUUAUCUUCUCCUCCUACCUUCAUGAUAUCUCUCCACCAUAAUGACUGUCCUUUUUCAAACCUAUUCAUGGUGCACAAAAAAAUUUUGUCCAUUGAACCAUAUCUAUGUACUAAUAAUUUGCACCACAUGGAAUCUCCUUCGUUAAGUGCUCUCCAUUUCCAUUUGCAAAGUAAUGCUUGAUUGAAAAUGUCAAGGUUUUUUAUACCCAAUCCUCCUUUCUCCUUUGAUAAACAAAUAUUAUCCCAACUAAUCCAACAAAUCUUCUUUCUAUCCAAACCACCUCCCCACAAAAAAUUUCGUUGGAUACUUAUCAAUUCUCUGACACAGCAUAUUUGAUUCAUCAAGACAUUAUUUUAAGUUGACCCAAAAAUAUUAAAAUAGAAAACCACUAAAACUGCCCCCAAUUAAUAAGCUUUUAUGUUCUUCCAUGUUCACAACUCUUUGUUAAUACACUCACUGCUCAGAGUCUUUAGUAGUUAGUACUGAGAUGAGAUGAGAAGCACCAACCAUUCCCUAGUAAAUACAGGGUCUUGGGAUUUUAGUGAUCUCAAUUACUUUCCUUUUACUAGAAACUCUAAUAUGUUUUAGCUUACUAUGUUACAUUAAAAUAUUGUGCUACAACCAAAUAUGAGUUGUUCAAUCCAAAUGCAAUGAUUUAGGUUUGUUUUCUUCAACAAAUUCAACAACUUAAUUAAGAAUAUCCAAAUUCAUCUAUAGAACAAAAAAGGUAGAUUAUACACAAGUUAUACUCAUCAUUCAUAUUUCAAUUGAUUUUUUACCCAAAAAAUUAAAUCAUUAAAAACAAUUAUGCAUAAGAAAACCCACAACAACAAAAAAAGUAUUCAUACUAUAUGUUAUGAAACAAAUGUGUUAUUCAUACUUAAUUUCUAAUAUACGGUAUUUUUCUAAAUAAUGUCGUGUUCCUUCAUUGAAUAUAUUAAAUAAAUUCAAAAAAAAAUAUAAUACACCUAACACAUAUAACAAGAUAUAUAGUGUGUUUAAAAAUCCCUACGAAAGGACAGUCUUAGAUGUAUAAACCGGAACAAGAGUUACGGCAAGACCAAUACCAAAUUCAUCAAGUAGUCUUGCUAAACACAAGACAAAUAACCACAGUAUAACCAAACCGCCAAAGAAAUAUAGCACGGAUAAGAUUAUCAACAAUGGUCUCCGAUCAGGCCAAACCGUUAUUCAAUCAUAGAAAAUUUUAAUUAGUGUAGCUCCAAUGAUAUAAACGACAACCACAAUUUUGAAGAAUCACUCAUUUUGAAGAAGGUAAGCUUCCUUUCAGAUACCUUGGAAUUCCCAUGACUAGUAAGAAAUUAGCUAUACACAACUACAUGGACCUGAUUGAUAGAAUAGUUGGAAGAAUCACUCAUUGGAGUUCUAAACUCCUAAGCUACGCAGGGAGAAUUCAGCUUCUCAAAAGUGUAAUUUUUGCUAUGACGAAUUAUUGGAUGCAGUGCUUGCCUUUCCCUAAAGCAGUGAUACGUAAGAUUAACUCCAUAUGUCGGACUUUCUUCUGGACGGGUAGUAUAGAGAAAAGCUGUAAAGCCCCCGUUGCUUGGAAAUCUGUGUGCCAAACUAAGCGUAAUGGUGGUCUGAAUCUCAUUGACCUUGAGGGUUGGAAUCAUAUUUCUUUGCUGAAACUGUUAUGGAAUCUUUGUGGCAAAUCAGAUAGCCUUUGGGUAAAAUGGAUCCAUGCAUAUUAUAUUAAAAACCAGCAGAUCAUGGAGGCUUAUAUACCAGAUAAUGCCUCCUGGAUAAUGAAGGCUGUUAUGAAGCAACGCGAGUGUACCCUUCAAAAUCCGGUGUGGACAGAGAUGUUGAAUGCCCAGAAAUUUAAUAUGAAAAAGAUGUACUUGGCUAAUUAUGAAAGAUCUCAAAGUGUUCCGUGGAGAACUUUGUUCUAUGGAAACGUGGCCCGUCCUAGAGCUCUUGUCAACCUCUGGCUUGCUUGUAAUGGGAGGUUGGCAACUCGUGACAGAUUACACAAGUUUGGGAUUAUUGACACAACUUGUUGUUGCUUCUGCAGUGCUGAUGAAACUCAGCAGCACCUUAUGUUUGAUUGUAAUGAAACAAGAGAUAUUUGGAGAAAAGUCCUUGAAUGGAUUCAGAUUGCUCAUUAUCCAUUGGGCUGGUGUCAAGAAGUGGAGUGGAUUAUGAAGCAGACUAAAGGUAAAGGAGGUCGUGCAAAGAUCCUAAAAUUGGCCUUCACUGAAUGUGUCUAUGAGAUUUGGAGGUAUCGAAAUUAUAUUAGUUUUGGUAAUGCUGUACAGAACAAUCAUACUGAUAAGAAAAUUAUUGAUACUAUUGUCUAUAGGGGCUGGACCAAUAGAAAAUUAAGGACAUGCCUAGCUAAACUCAUGAUGUAAAUAGUCCUCUUCUUUGGUUGUUGUUUUUGUCGUUUUUGAUCCUGUGGACUGGAUCCUUGUGAUCGCCUUGUACCUCUGGUUUUUGAAUUAAUCAAAGUUUUCUUUUUGAUUCAAAAAAAGACAACCACAAUUUGCAUAGUUGUUUGCAUAGUAACAACUUUUUUAAUGUGAAGAAUAAAAUUUGCAAUCUUUGCAUUAGGUGUAAUAAACAUAUUAUUUCUUGGUUUAUUUGUGUUCAAAUUAUACUUAAAACAUUCCUUGUGAAAGCAACAUAGGGUCGUUUGUUUUGACUUUUUUAAAAAAUGAUUUUUAUAGUGUUAUAGUGUGGAAAAAAAAAUUUACAAAUAAACUUUUUAUAAAAGCUUCAAAUUAAAAUUUGAUUUGAAUAAGUAUUCUUAAAAUGUUAUUUUAGGUAUUUCAUCAUUUUAUUGAAAAAAAAUUGGAUAUCAAAAUUUCAAAAAAUCACUUAAUUUUGAAGCUAUUUCAAAUAGAUUUUCAUAAAUAUCAUUUUUGAAAUAUAACUUUUUGAAAAAAUUGCGAUUUUGACUAUGUUUUGAUCUUUAAUAAUAUAUGUUUAUAUCAUAUGAUGUCAAAAUUAGUGUUUUAAUUUAGAAAAAUAAAUAUAAAAAACUUGUAAUAUUUCGAAAAAAUGGUUUUAUAAAAUCUAUUUUUAAAAAUACAAAAAAAAAAUCCAUUUUUUUAAAACUGGAAUAAAUAGACCCGUAAUGUUAUGUUAUAACUUAUAAUCCUAGUAAUUAAAAAUAAUAUAAUACUAAAAAUAAUAAUGAGAGAAUGAGAGGUUUAAAUUUUAACAAAGCUGUUGGGAUACGUUAUAAAAUUUAAAUGCAGUCUCUACUCAUCAUGGUCUAGUUUAGACAAGUAUAUUACCAAUAUAUGAUGAGUAAUCGGUCAAUUUAGUCGCAAAAUUAUCACUCUCUCACCAACUUAGUCCCUAAACUAUUAAAAAUAACUAAAAGGUCCCUAAUCUAUUUUUCAUCCGUCAAUUUAGUCCUCGGUUAACUUGUCUAUAAAAUCCUAAAAUAUUAUUACCCUUUCUUCUUCCACGUGCUUCAACGGAAACAACCACCCUGCUCGCCGCCAACCACUCCACUCUCCGGCAACAACCGUUUUUCACGCAACAAAAAUAUAACCUCUAGUUGCGGCUAAAAACAGAUCCGUUUUUUGUUCUCACUUUUGUAAAUUUAUAAGGGUUUGUGAUUUUGUUUUAUCCCUUUGAAGUUUAUGCUGUGAUCUCUUGUUUUUUGCGGGUCUGGGAGUUUUUUAUCCUUCUACUCCUUUUCUUCUGUUAUUAUAAGGAAUGUUGUGGGGUGUGUUAGUGUGUAUAAUGAUGACAUAAAGGGUACAAAAAGUGUCAUUGUAUGUAGUAUGCUAACAAAGUCUUAUUAAAUUUCAAGCAUUGUAUGGUGAAUUAUCUUUGGAGGCUGGUGCAGCUUUUUUCAUCUAUGCUACUGUGUUAAGAAGUGCCUUGGAGAUAUUAUAACAUGUUUGUUAAGAAUCAUAAAAUGAUGUUUAUGAAGGACUAAAUUGAAGGAUGUAAAUAUAGUUUAGGGACUAAGUUGGUAAGAGAGUGAUAGUUUAGGGACUAAAUUGACUGAUUACUCAAUAUAUGAUAAUCAAUGUGAACGUCCCAGAUAAGUGGAUUUGGCUGCCUGACCCUAACUCGGGAUAUUCAAUGUGAGGCGCUUACAAUUAGUAACCCAAAUUGUUCUGUCUUGUAUGAGCAUAAAGAGAUUAUAUGGAAUAAACUUGCGCCUUUGAAGGUGUCAAUCUUUGCUUGGCGGUUUUUAAACAACAUAUCUCUGAAGGAGAGUAUGAGGCGGCAUGGAAUGACUCUUGCGGAUCUGACGGUGUGUACAAGUGGUUGUGGUGUAGCUGAAACUUCCAAUCACUUGUUUCUUUUGUUGUGCUUUUGCUCAAUCCCUUUGUAUUAAAAUUCUGUCUUGGAUGAGCAUUUAUAGUAUGUUACCAAAUGUUGUGGAGGAUCAUGCAUGCUUUGCAAUUUUAUAAUUCUUUUAUGUUUGGUAAAGAAGUUCGAAUGGAUAUUCAGGUUGUUUUGGUAUAGAUUUAGUAAAACUAAUGAUUUCAUAAAUUACUCGGUAACAUGAAAAAAUAAUUAGGAAAGAAAGAAAAAAAAUCAGUAAUUCAGUGUAGAGAAACUAAACGCAAGAUUUUGGUACCAUACACAGAACUAGGGUUGGGAACAGGCCAAGCCUUGAUAGGCCUGAGUUUGGCCUACGAUUUUUCUUUAGGCAUGAGCCUGGCCUGCGGCCUAUCAAAUGUUAUUUUUUUUGGCCUGGCCUGAGCUUUUUAAAAGUCUGGUCUGGCCUUGUAGCCUAUUUAAAAGUCUGUGUUACAUUAAAACUUCUCUAUAUAGUCUUUUUAAAUAGGUUAACCAGGCCUUAAAAAGUUCAUAUUUAAAUUUUUAUAAUUUCUACAACAUUAAAAAAAAGCUAAUAAUAUGAUUAGCACAAUAAUUAAAAACUAAUAAAAUAACAAAUAUGAUUACGACAAAGUCGCCAUAAUACAAAUUGUUCGCUAAGUGUAGUCAGCAACAAGCCAACAACCAAAAUAUAGGAUGAGUUGCUACUUGCUUGAGAGAAUGAGAGAUGGAAUGAAGGUAGGGUUUCUAUUUUUAAUUUAUAUGCGUGAAAUAUAAAAACAAAUAUAUUUUCACUGUUUUAUUAAAAAAAAAAAAACUCUGAUAUUUUGUAUUUACAUAAAUAAUAUUUUUUUAUAAGAUAUAAAUAAUUAUUAUUAUAAACAGGACGGCCUAUCAGACUUUGUAGGCCUUUUUAGAAGCCCAAGCCUGACCUAUUUAUGUAAACAAACCGUUUUCAAAGCCUGACAUUUUUAAUAAUCAGGUCAAGCCAGACUUAUACAAGUCAGGCCGAAGACCCCUAUAGACCGCCUGGCCUAUUCCCAACCCAGAACAGAACAAUUCUCAGAAUAUUCUUAUGAGCUGCAAAAUGCAAAUCCAUCUUGUGGUACAAAAAAAAAACAAGUGCAUUAAACAGUCACAACUCACAACAAUUAAUAUAUAGCCACCUAAAUUCAUUCACUCUCCUUUAUUCNNNNNNNNNNNNNNNNNNNAAUCCAAGCCAAAAACCAAUUUUGAGAGCACUUUGAGAUACCCAUUUGGCUUCUUUUUCUUGUGAACAAGUUUUUUCUUUCUGGGUCAUUGAAAUUUUUCACAUUCUCUUUCUCACCUUUCAUAGAAAAAAAUGUCUAACAUUGUUAUUGUUUUCGACUUUGACAAAACCAUCAUUGAUUGUGACAGUGAUAACUGGUUGAUUGAUGAAUUGGGUUUCACUGAUUUGUUCAAUCAACUCCUUCCCACAAUGCCAUGGAAUUCUGUCAUGGUAUGUUUUUUAUACUCUGCAUGUGCUCUGUUUUUAUAAAUACUCUGUUUUCUGCAUUGUCUCAAUUUGCAUAAAUAAAUAACUUUGAUUAUUGUGUUUAUGUUAUUGAAUUAUAGGACAAAAUGAUGAUGGAGUUUCAUGCAAAUGGUGUAACAAUUGAAGAGAUUGAAAAGGUUCUUCAUAGGAUUCCAAUUCAUCACAGAAUAGUACCUGCAAUUAAAGCAGCUUAUGCUUUAGGGUGNNNNNNNNNNNNNNNNAGAAGGAAGGGUUAGAAUUUCACCUUACCAUGACUUCAACAAAUGUUCACAUGGUUGCACUCUUUGCCCUCCAAACAUGUGCAAGGUAUAUUCUUUUAUAGUUGUUUUUUUGUUUCUUAUUAGAAGCCAAUAGAUUUUAUGGAAAUAUAUAAUAAUGAAUAAUUUUUAUGUAGGAUCGCUAGUUUAAAAUUAAAUUAAAUUAAAAAAAUUGGAGUGAAGAUUCAAUUCUUCACAAAUUUCAUAUGGGACAAUUCAGUCCCCACAAAAGUAAAACCCAAAUUAGUCCUGAUUUUUAAUAUUUUGCGACAAAUUAGUCUCUCUAUUAGAAUAAAUCAGAGACUAGUUUGUCUUCAAUAUGAAAAUGUUAAAAAUUAAUAUGUUUUGUGGAAUGAAUUGUCCCGUCAAAAUUUUGUGAGAGAUCAAAAUGGGUCUUCACUCAAAAAAUUAUGCCGUGACUAUAAGCAUAAUUCAGUUGUUAAGAAUAUUAUCAAAAAAAAAAAUUAAAAAAUUAUGGAAAUUAAUUUAUAUAUGAUAGAAUAUACUUAAUUCACUUAAGAUUGAAAUUCUAAUCAUCAAUCUACUUGACAAAAAAUAAAAUAUGAAAAUUAAUUUAUAUGAUAGAAUAUACUUAAUUUUUUUAAUCAUUAUUUCAGGGUUUAAUCAUUGAUAGAAUUCAAAAUACAAUUUCUGAGGUGGAUAAGAAGAGGUUCAUCUACCUUGGUGAUGGUGCUGGUGAUUAUUGUCCUAGUUUGAGGCUUAGAGAAAGAGACUUUGUGAUGCCAAGGAAGAAUUUUCCAAUAUGGGAUUUGAUAUGCAAAGAUCCUUUACUUAUUAAGGCUGAAAUUAAUGGUUGGAGUGAUGGAG
RNAcentral lists this long non-coding RNA (12705 nucleotides) under Trifolium pratense (red clover). Its description in RNAcentral is "long non-coding RNA (TPRA_LNC002666)". The record is from RNAcentral. Lineage: Eukaryota; Viridiplantae; Streptophyta; Magnoliopsida; Fabales; Fabaceae.